UAGGUGAAAGUGUAAACAUUUUGAAAGCUUAUGGAGAUUCUAUGAGAAGAACAGAAAUAGGAAGGAUCAAAGUUUCUUCCAGCAUCCUUAAAAUCACUCCAGGUAUCUUGCCUGCAUGAACUCUGUUGGUCCCAGAUAAAAUGGCAAGAUGAGCAUACUAAAAUCUCAGGAAAAGGUAAAUUUUGACUCUGACGGGGCCUAGAAGAAGUGAUACUCCAAUAGCAAAGAUCAUGCUUAGUGCCAAGAUCUUGGUUUCUAAUACUAUUCUCCAAUAAAAGGAUGAAGGAUCCUUGGAGAAUUGGCUGAUUCUAUGACUGGAGAAGGAAAAAUACAAGAUGAGUCUGGAGCAUCUUGCAGGGCCAAAAAGUAAAGAUUUGCUUAAUAGAAAAAAAAAACACAUUAAUGGGAACAUAUCAAAGGGACAAACAAGCUAAUUGAAAGAGUUUUCAAUCACCAAUGAUGGAACAAGUUGAAUAACACAACAAAGUAGUAUUAGAUUGUAACUUAAGGUAUAAAAGAAGUCUCCAUGAU
Long non-coding RNA from Aethalodelphis obliquidens (Pacific white-sided dolphin), 531 nucleotides. RefSeq lists it as uncharacterized. The transcript has 3 exons. NCBI's taxonomy places the organism in Eukaryota, Metazoa, Chordata, Mammalia, Artiodactyla, Delphinidae. The record is from RefSeq and is a predicted model, not a curated record.